GAUAACAGGUUUUUCAGCUUCAUGCAGAAAUGCGAGCCCCUUAGCUGCGCCAAAGGCAAUCUUCAUUCUAAUGGACCACGGAAGAGGAAGCAAUACUCUUGAGAACAAAUUGUUUUCAACACUUCCCCGAGCCAUAUACUCGUAUAUAAGAACUCGAUGUUCAGCUUCACAGCAGUAACCAAUCAACUUUACUAAAUUUGGGUGCGAAAGUUGGCCGAGAAAUAUCACUUCAGCCAGCCAUUCCCUGUGUCCCUGAUAACUAUUAUCCCCAUCAUGAACCUUAACAGCUACUGUAAUUGGCUGGAGUCCUUCCCUCAAAUCUUCAGUAAUAUAUCCUUUAUAAACAUUUCCGAAUCCUCCUCCACCGAGCAUGUAAUCUUGUCUAAAGUUGCAUGUUAUUAUCUUAAGUUCAUCAAAGGAGAAUGCAAUCAAUGGAUUUGUAGCUGAGCUACGACGCAGGUCUUCUACUUCUUCAGGGUUCGAAGGCAUCUUAGUGUGAUCCAUCCUUGCAUUUUGAGAUGGACUUUUAUCCUUUGGAGACUCAGAUUUUGCAUUAGAAGAGACUCUGUAUAUUGAAGGUUGACCCCUACAGCAGCAAUUUCCCAUUUAUUAUAGUAUAAAACCCCUAACUUUGUAUCUCAACAACCACCCAUGAUUAUUACUAAAAAUGAAACAACAGAAUUAACCAAACCCCCAAGAAGAAGAAGAUGAAGAAAGU
RNAcentral lists this unclassified non-coding RNA (718 nucleotides) under Hevea brasiliensis (rubber tree). Lineage: Eukaryota; Viridiplantae; Streptophyta; Magnoliopsida; Malpighiales; Euphorbiaceae. The record is from RNAcentral.